UGGGGAAUAUUGCACAAUGGGCGCAAGCCUGAUGCAGCCAUGCCGCGUGUGUGAAGAAGGCCUUCGGGUUGUAAAGCACUUUCAGCGAGGAGGAAGGUGGUGAGCUUAAUACGCUCAUCAAUUGACGUUACUCGCAGAAGAAGCACCGGCUAACUCCGUGCCAGCAGCCGCGGUAAUACGGAGGGUGCAAGCGUUAAUCGGAAUUACUGGGCGUAAAGCGCACCAGGCGGUUUGUUAAGUCAGAUGUGAAAUCCCCGGGCUCAACCUGGAACUGCAUUUGAAACUGGCAAGCUAGAGUCUCGUAGAGGGGGGUAGAAUUCCAGGUGUAGCGGUGAAAUGCGUAGAGAUCUGGAGGAAUACCGGUGGCGAAGGCGGCCCCCUGGACGAAGACUGACGCUCAGGUGCGAAAGCGUGGGGCAGCAAACAGGAUUAGAUACCCUGGUAGUCC
This 448-nucleotide ribosomal RNA is filed under the name uncultured bacterium. RNAcentral describes it as "partial 16S ribosomal RNA". It matches the Rfam family "Bacterial small subunit ribosomal RNA", at positions 355 to 796 of the family's 1533-position model. The record is from RNAcentral.